Long non-coding RNA from Zea mays, 655 nucleotides. RefSeq lists it as uncharacterized. Lineage: Eukaryota; Viridiplantae; Streptophyta; Magnoliopsida; Poales; Poaceae. The transcript is spliced from 2 exons. The record is from RefSeq and is a predicted model, not a curated record.
ACGAUCCUCAUAUUGGCAAACGCUCCCCUCAUCACCACCUCGUUGUUCCCGCGGCGGCCACCAUAGGAGCUGAAGUUCUUGGGCUCCACGCCAUACUCGAGCAGAUACUUGGCCGCAGGUGUGCCCUCGGGGAUCUUCCCCGAGUAGGAGAUGUGGUCCGUGGUGAUGCUGUCCCCAAGGUUGAGCAGGCAGUAGGCCUCCGUCACCGUGGGCGGGGCUGCAGGCGGCGUCAUGGACAUGCCCUCCAGGUGAGUCUGCACGCUGGACUCCACAACCUCAUCGAUCUCUUGGUUUGAAGGCCAUAUGUCCCUCAAGAAAACUUCCUUACCACCCUUUCCAACUCCAAUGGGCUCUUUCUCAAAGUCAAUGUCAACCUGUGCGAUUGCCGUUGCCGUACGUAGUGUGUGUGUCAGCCAGCCACAAAGCAAUAGAACUCCAAGUGGAAGAAGAAAUAACAAUGUACUUACAGUGCCGGCAAGAGCAUAGGCAACAACCAGAGGCGGCGAGGCAAGGUAGUUAGCCCGAGUGAGAGGGUUCACACGCCCCUCGAAGUUUCGGUUGGCCGACAGCACCGCAGCAGCAACCAUAUCUGUAUAUAUAUGUGCAAGAUCGAGUAGACCAUAAGCUACCAACAAAUGAUCAAUUCAAAAAAAAA